UACGUAGGGGGCGAGCGUUGUCCGGAUUCAUUGGGCGUAAAGCGCGCGUAGGCGGCUCCGCAAGUCGGCCGUGAAAUCUCCGGGCUCAACUCGGAGGGGUCGGGCGAGACUGCGGGGCUCGAGGUGGGCAGAGGGCAGCGGAAUUCCGGGUGUAGUGGUGGAAUGCGUAGAGAUCCGGAGGAACACCAGUGGCGAAGGCGGCUGCCUGGGCCUGGCCUGACGCUGAGGCGCGAAAGCGUGGGGAGCGAUCCGG
RNAcentral lists this ribosomal RNA (253 nucleotides) under uncultured bacterium. Its description in RNAcentral is "partial 16S ribosomal RNA". It matches the Rfam family "Bacterial small subunit ribosomal RNA", at positions 524 to 776 of the family's 1533-position model. The record is from RNAcentral.